This 1870-nucleotide small RNA is filed under the name Pan troglodytes (chimpanzee). RNAcentral describes it as "retained intron". The record is from RNAcentral. Lineage: Eukaryota; Metazoa; Chordata; Mammalia; Primates; Hominidae.
CACCCUUGAAAUGCAGCAUGCCAAGAAGGCUGCAGAGAUAGCGAGUGAGAAAGACUAUAAAAGAGAUCUGGAGACUGAAAUUAAAGGGAAAGGGAUGCAGGUGAGCACAGACACUCUUGAUGUCCAGAGAGCUAAGAAAGCAUCCGAGAUGGCCAGCCAGAAACAAUACAAGAAGGACUUAGAAAAUGAAAUUAAAGGGAAAGGAAUGCAAGUGAGCAUGGAUAUCCCAGAUAUCCUUCGAGCCAAGAGGACAUCUGAAAUCUAUAGCCAGAGAAAGUAUAAAGAUGAAGCAGAGAAGAUGCUUUCUAACUAUUCUACCAUAGCAGAUACUCCUGAAAUGCAGAGAAUUAAGACAACUCAACAAAACAUUAGUGCAGUAUUUUAUAAGAAAGAAGUGGGAGCUGGCACUGCAGUGAAAGAUACCCCAGAGAUCGAACGAGUGAAGAAAAAUCAGCAGAAUAUUAGUUCAGUGAAAUACAAAGAAGAGAUUAAACAUGCAACAGCCAUUUCUGAUCCUCCAGAACUAAAGAGAGUUAAAGAAAACCAGAAGAACAUCAGCAAUCUCCAGUAUAAAGAGCAAAACUACAAGGCCACUCCGGUAAGCAUGACCCCGGAGAUAGAGAGAGUGAGGCGAAACCAGGAGCAGCUGAGUGCGGCAAGUCCUUUCUGUUUCCUUUUAUAUUUUCUCAAACAUAACAUAUUUUUAUUUAAAAAUAUGCCCUUUGGAAGGCCAUUAUCCUUAGCAAACUAACACAGGAACAUAAAACCAAAUACUGCAUAAUAAUGAGAGCUAAAUGAUGAGAACACAUGGACACAUAGAGGGGAAUAACAGACACCGGAGCCUGUUGGACGGGAGAGGAUGGGAGGAGGGAGAGGAUCCGGAAAAGUAACUGUUGAGUACUGGGCUUAAUGCCGGGGUGAUGAAGUCAUCUGUACAACAAACUCCCAUAACACAAGUUCACCUGUGUAACAAACCUGCACAUGUACCGCUGAACUUAAAAGUUUAAAAAAAAAAUGAAUUUGAGCAACAUGCAAUUAUAUGGAUGAAUCAUAUCAUUAUAACAUGAAAAAGUGAAUAUGUACAUGCAGCAUUAAUUCUUUUGUAAAAUUUAACAACUGCAAUAAUAAUGAUGAUGAUAAACGGAAUAUCUCCAGAUUUAAUAAAACUAUCUAAAAAUUUAAAAAGGAAAAGUUUUACACCCUCUGCAUUUUUGGAUGUUCCUUUUCACAUUUCCUUGUUGAAGGGCAUGAACUGCGUGUCCAGGAAAUUUGGGACUGUGUUGCUGUACCUUAGCUGUGUUUGCUUAUUCAAGAGAUCUUCAUUAAGUACCCAAAUGUACUGGGCAUUGUCCUGGUCACUCAGACACAAAGAUGGGUAAAAUAUAAGGGAGAACUUCAACGGGGAACUGCAAUUUCUGAUCCACCAGAGCUGAAGAGGGCAAAAGAAAACCAGAAAAACAUCAGCAAUGUUUAUUACAAAGGUCAGCUGGGAAGAGCUACCGCUUUAAGUGUAACUCCUGAAAUGGAAAGAGUGAAGAAGAAUCAAGAAAAUAUUAGCUCGGUAAAAUAUACCCAGGACCAUAAACAGAUGAAAGGUAGACCAAGUCUGAUUUCAGAUACACCUGCUAUGAGACAUGUUAAAGAAGCACAAAAUCAUAUUUCAAUGGUAAAAUACCAUGAAGAUUUUGAAAAAACAAAGGGGAGAGGCUUUACUCCCGUCGUGGACGAUCCUGUGACAGAGAGAGUGAGGAAGAACACCCAGGUGGUCAGCGAUGCUGCCUAUAAAGGGGUCCACCCUCACAUCGUGGAGAUGGACAGGAGACCUGGAAUCAUUGUUGACCUCAAAGUUUGGCGCACAGAUCCUGGCUCC